AACGAACGCUGGCGGCAUGCCUAACACAUGCAAGUCGAACGAGACCUUCGGGUCUAGUGGCGCACGGGUGCGUAACGCGUGGGAAUCUGCCCUUGGGUUCGGAAUAACAGUGAGAAAUUACUGCUAAUACCGGAUGAUGUCUUCGGACCAAAGAUUUAUCGCCCAGGGAUGAGCCCGCGUAGGAUUAGCUAGUUGGUGGGAUAAUGGCCUACCAAGGCGACGAUCCUUAGCUGGUCUGAGAGGAUGAUCAGCCACACUGGGACUGAGACACGGCCCAGACUCCUACGGGAGGCAGCAGUGGGGAAUAUUGGACAAUGGGCGCAAGCCUGAUCCAGCAAUGCCGCGUGAGUGAUGAAGGCCUUAGGGUUGUAAAGCUCUUUUACCCGGGAUGAUAAUGACAGUACCGGGAGAAUAAGCUCCGGCUAACUCCGUG
Molecule: ribosomal RNA, 433 nt
Filed under: uncultured bacterium
Lineage: Bacteria
Description: partial 16S ribosomal RNA
Rfam family: Bacterial small subunit ribosomal RNA
Source: RNAcentral